This 370-nucleotide ribosomal RNA is filed under the name uncultured bacterium. Its description in RNAcentral is "partial 16S ribosomal RNA". It matches the Rfam family "Bacterial small subunit ribosomal RNA", at positions 338 to 723 of the family's 1533-position model. The record is from RNAcentral.
CCUACGGGUGGCAGCAGUGGGGGAUAUUGCACAAUGGGCGAAAGCCUGAUGCAGCGACGCCGCGUGCACGAAGAAGUAUUUCGGUAUGUAAAGCCCUAUCAGCAGGGAAGAAGAAAGGACGGCACCUGAGUAAGACGCACCGUCUCAAGACGUGACAGCAGCCGCGGUAAUACGGAUGGUGCAAGCGUUAUCCGGAUUUUCUGGGUGUAAAGUGGGCGUAGGCGGGAUGGCAAGCCAGAUGUGAAAGCCCGCGGCUCAACCGUGGGACUGCAGUGGAAACUGCCGGGCUGGAGUGCCGACGAGGUAGGCGGAAUUCCUGGUGUAGCGGUGAAAUGCGUAGAUAUUAGGAGGAACACCGGUGGCGAAGGCG